Molecule: regulatory RNA element, 47 nt
Organism: Vibrio parahaemolyticus RIMD 2210633
Lineage: Bacteria; Pseudomonadati; Pseudomonadota; Gammaproteobacteria; Vibrionales; Vibrionaceae
Rfam family: uup RNA
Source: Rfam
GAAGGCUGAACUCCGUGCAUAAAACGCGAUGAAGUGUUGCUCGGAGU